AAGGGAGACCUAAUUCAGGUAGGAGACGAAAAAAAAGUAGUCGCUACCAAGAAUCAAUCCCAAAAGGUCGGAGCGAGGCGAAAUUGGCUUUCAAACUAGGUUCUGGGUUCACACAAGACCUGAAUCAGGAACAAGGGCUAUUAGCUCAGGCGGUUAGAGCGCACCCCUGAUAAGGGUGAGGUCCCUGGUUCGAGUCCAGGAUGGCCCACCUGUACAGGUGGCAAAAAGAAAGAAAAGAAGCGAGGAAUCAGCACCUUAUCUUACUGACAUAGUAAGAGAGAAUGCUGGCUCUGAGUAAAGAGUCCAGAGGAACCUUGAAAACUGCAUAGAGCUAGGUGAAAAAGCCAAAAAAGAAGACCGCAA
This 363-nucleotide transfer RNA is filed under the name uncultured Microcystis sp. RNAcentral describes it as "partial 16S-23S ribosomal RNA intergenic spacer". The stretch from base 135 to 208 matches the Rfam family "tRNA". The record is from RNAcentral. Lineage: Bacteria; Bacillati; Cyanobacteriota; Cyanophyceae; Chroococcales; Microcystaceae.